Molecule: ribosomal RNA, 433 nt
Filed under: Pneumocystis wakefieldiae
Lineage: Eukaryota; Fungi; Ascomycota; Pneumocystomycetes; Pneumocystales; Pneumocystaceae
Description: partial small subunit ribosomal RNA
Rfam family: Eukaryotic small subunit ribosomal RNA (bases 109-391)
Source: RNAcentral
UUCUUGCAUAUUCUAGUUCAGAGUUAAUGUGAAGAUAAUUUUUAUUUAUAAAUACUUAUACUAGUAUGAUAAAUGGAUUUUAAAUUCCCUUAACUACACUUGAAUACAGGUGUUGCAUGGCUGUUUUUAGUUCGUGUUGUGAAAUGUUAGGUUCAUUCCGUGAACGAACGUAAUCCUUAUCUUUAAUUACAAUGACAUUCAGAAUGAAUAAAAUUCAAUUGGAAUUUAUUGGAAUUCCAUUGAAUUCCGAAUGAAUAUUUAAUAAAACUCAUUCUGGAUUAUUGAAAUGCAAUUCUUUCAGUUCAUGAAUGAAGCAUUCAUAUUAACUUAAUUAAAGAAGUAUCUUUUGAUAAGAAAGAAUAAUUAGGCCGAAGACAAGUCCUCAUGACCCUUAUGGAGUGGGCUACAGACGUGCCACAAAGAUUUCUACAAA